Molecule: RNA transcript, 2208 nt
Organism: Piliocolobus tephrosceles (Ugandan red Colobus)
Lineage: Eukaryota; Metazoa; Chordata; Mammalia; Primates; Cercopithecidae
Exons: 1
Source: RefSeq, a predicted model, not a curated record
UCUCCUCGCUUCACCGCGCGCCCGGGCCGCAUUUUGCCGGCGUCACGUUCCCCUCUCGGCCCUCGUGGGCUCGGGGCGCCAGCGAUCCCGACGGAGGAAGCCCGGAUGGAAGGAGGAAAGAGAAGUGGGUGCCCGAGGCGGCAGCCCAGGGUCGAGAUGGGGACGCGCUGAGUGGACCAGGGUUGGGGGGCCCGGGUCGCCCCCCGAGGGUGUGUGUGGACGCCGGGCACCUGCAGAGGCGAGCAGGGCUCUUCGUGGCGCUCUCGGGGCCUGCGCCUGGCAGGGACUGUGGGCCGCUGUCGCCCCUCUACCCCAGUCUGACUCUGCCCUGGGUCUGUGGUGGAGGCUUGGUCACCAGCCGCCGCAGCAAGUGUCAGGGAGCAACUCUCAGCCAGGGGAGGCCCCAGCUCCCAGCCAGGGGAAGAGAUGAUUCCAGAAAGGACAGUCUGAGAGAUAGAAGGAGGAGGAAGGGGGAGAGGAACCGUGGGGGAAGGGAAGGAGGAGGAGGAGUGGGAGGAGGAAGAGCAGAGGGAAGACACAUGCCAGCCCUGCCCACCGGGAAGCCCCUGAUACACAGGAACCAGCUCCAGACCAAGGCCACCUGCCCCUGACCACAAGUUGAAUUUGUCACUCAAACUGCAGUGUUUCCCAACAUUCUAAUUAUUUGCGGAAGUGUUCCAUUUGGGGUAAUUCACAUAAAAUCCAGAGUUUUGGCUCUUCUGGGCUGAGUGGGCCCUGGCCCCCUCCCAUAGGUUGUGGCUCCCCUGGUCCUCCCUAUCCUCUGGAGCUGGCCCACCGCUCAGCGCUGGCCUUGCAGCCCUUACUAAAGGCCUUGAAAAUGCCUGGGUUCACCCCCUGAGUGAAUUAAAGGCCAGAGGGGCCUCAGAAGGGCACUGUGAGGGACAGAGGCUCGCCUGGGCAGUGCAGAAGCCAGCCACGUGUCCCUCCUUACAGGGGAUGAAAUGACCUGGGGAGGAAACCCCAGCCCUUCCCCGGAGGUUCCUGAGUAGGCGGCCAGUGCUGUGAGGUUUCACCACCUGCUGUCCCAAGCAAGCUUGAGUUGUGUGUGAGUCUGUGCAGUACCGUGCUGUACCUUAUGCUUCAGCUUCCCCACCCCUGCUGAGCUUGAUUUUUCCCUAAAUAUCAGCCUCCACGGCACCCCACAUUCGUUCAUGCCUUCUUGUCCCUGGGGCAAUGUGUGUGUUUCCUCGUCCCAAUUUCCAUCCCUUGGCAGUGAGGAGCCCAUCGUGCCAGGGGGCCCUGCCCUGCUUGUCCCUGGGAAGGAAUAAUGGGGCCUGGGUGUGACCUCAGAGCCCGGACCAGACUGUCCCAGUCCCAUGUCAGGGACACCCAGAUGCAGAUGCUGUCUGAGACCUGCUGCAGGGCGUGGGUGCUCCUCCCUGCCUGGAGGCUGUCCCUGGACAGUGACCCACCCACUGAGGACCAGGCCAGGUGCACCUAGAGCUGGGCACAGCAGCCUGUGGUGUUGCCUGUGGGUGGGGAGGGCCCCAGGUGUGCUUCUCCCGUAGCGGUCCUAAACUUCUGUCCCUGUGCACUGUGUCACCUGGAUCAUCCAGUAAAGUGAAAUUCAGCACUGUGCUCUCUCUGUGCUCUGGGUGACGGGACAGGGGGAGUGUGGGAGCGUGGGCCACACAUGUCCACAGUCUUGACUGUGGUUUGCCCAGAACACCUGGGAACUGUCCUGUCACUAGUUUAUAUACACUGUCCUUUGCUGCUUCAGGCUCCCUGCCUGACUUUCCCUACCCAGCAGUAUCAUUUCACCCCUUGCAGAUCUGAGCCAGCUUCCACUCCCACCCUUGACGCCUCCCCACUUCCAGCCUCAGGCCUCAGCCUCAGCUCAGAAGCCCCUGGACAUCCAUGGAGACCCUGCCCAGCCAAUCGCCACCAUAGCUUCCACCCAGAUACACUCUGUGAGGCCACAGCUGCAUGUACGCACCCCCCAGCCUCCACCCUUAGCCUGCGCCCUGGACCUCCGCCUCAGUCUUCCAUUCUAUCUGAGUUUUCUGCCUCCCUCCAUCCUGUGUCCCCCCACCACACAUGGCCGCCAGAGGCGUCCUCUCAGAAGUCACACCUGGGGUCUGUUCAACUGGGGUCUGUUCAACAACAUGCUUUGUUCAACUAGGUAAUCACACGGGGCAAAUUGGAUUUAAAUGUAAUUAAGAUUAAAUAAAAUUACACAUCCAUGUC